Physeter macrocephalus (sperm whale) is the source of this 1035-nucleotide long non-coding RNA. RefSeq lists it as uncharacterized. The record is from RefSeq and is a predicted model, not a curated record. Lineage: Eukaryota; Metazoa; Chordata; Mammalia; Artiodactyla; Physeteridae. The transcript has 3 exons.
AAACGCAGUCAUUUUUGUUUUCCUUCAGAUUUUUACCAUUAAAAUGGUGGAUUAAAUGUUCAUGCUGGUUCAUCCUUUCCCAUGAUGGAGUGUGCACAGAACCCUGAUUUGCAGCUCUGCUGUUUCUCUCUGUUUAUUGAAAGCAUCUACCUCACCGGACUGCCAGUAUUGGAGCAUUACCCUAACUGGCCAUGAAUACAACUAUUGACAGGACCGAGGAUUAUGGAUUUUUGCAUCUCCAGCUCCAUACAUGGAUUCUGUGAGACGGUCCCCCAUUUGCCCCGCACCGUUUGCUGAAUGCUCCACGUUUUCUCCGUUGACAUGAAACGCCUCCCAGGAGAUUCUUGGGCAGACUUCAUGGCUUCCGAGCUGAGCUUGUGGUGACAGUGGUUCCUCUUUGUGAAACCUCUCCAGGCGGGCAGAGACCUCAAACACGCCACUCAGAGCUGCCAACAAGUCAAACCUGCACCAGUACCGGCGUAUGCGAGGUCUCCAGAUUGCAGCCUGGAAUGAUGUGAGCGCAUGAUUCCCAUCUAGUUGGUUCCUCCACUCCACAGACCGUCUCUCCAAUAAAGUCAGGAGGCGACAGGGAAUAGUCACAUGGUUUUGGUUGUUUGAUUUGCAGACUUUACUCCGUCAACAUGUGAGGAAGACCCGAACUUAAUAUUUGCAAAGCAGUUUGAACUAUGGAGAAGAAAGGUGCUAUGUAAUCCUUAUGUUAUCUUUUAGAUUUCGAGCAUGUUACUGUGACGUCAACAUCCUAGGCUUAAUGAAGUUUUAUUUCAGCUAAUAUAAGUUCAUCCCUCUGUGUUCAACUAGGUGUGAAACCAAGCCACUGGGUGUGGAUUAUGAGGGCUGAAGUUUUGGGGGGUGGGGUGAAAUUUUUCAGAAUUCGUGAUAGCAUAUGAGACCACUGAAGCCGGUUUACCUGCCUUCUAUCUACAAGGGUGCUUUUUAAACUAGGACACACAUCUAUUGUUCAGUGAUAAUUAUAGUGAUAAUGCUGACACUAAGAUACUGCAAAAUCCUGCUGCA